CAGAUAGCGUGGGUUUAUUUGAUUUUUCUUGGCAUCCCCAAGAGAGAAACUUACGUCAUCAUGAGCUAUUCUCAAAAAUGGCAGGCGGUGCUGGUUAUCCUUGCUGUCCACAUUGGAAUAAUGAUCGUAUUCUUUUAUUGCAAUACACAAUUAUGGGCAUUUUUCAUCUCUGCGACGGUUCUUCUCGUCCUUUUUCAAGAUUACAAGGAAGUGAAUAGAUCGUCCUCCAAGCAGUAGACGCCACAGUGAAAGCGGAAAAUUGAUUUUCUUCGUUUUACUUUCUCGUCUCAUUUUCUUCUCAGUAGGUUCUUGACUUUUUUUUUCCUACUUUUUCUGUUCCUUGUAUCUUCAUUUCUGUGGAAUACACAAAUUCUCUUGCAUACACUCUAAUCGGAAGGCCUAAUAAAUACGUUCGGCUAAAAAAGUUCAUAAUAUCCAAAAUGAGAAUCGCAUUUAUUUAAGAUACAGAACUUGGUACACUCAUCCUUAAUUCCACAUUGUUAAACAAAUAAACUCCACUCAACAAUGAAGUAGGCAUGUCGGCAAAGCAUGGAAUUUAUGUAACUGAAUUAUUAGAAGAGUAAUGUCAGGUUACAAUUGCAGAGGUCCGCUCACUUUGUGAGGCAAAUACUUGAGGAAAAAUGAUGUGUCAAUGAAGAACCAGCUUGAAAAUAAUCAUUCCAGGUUUUCCCUUGAUGUUAUUAAAAUGCUCAUACUGUUUACAUUAAUGGAUGAUGAGCCCAUACAAAGUAUUAUGAAAUAAUAUCCAGGUACUGAUAGAGCAGUAAUUAAUUUAUUAAGAAAAAGAUGGCACAUUUUCUUUUUGGGGAAUGAACAUUGGUACUAAUUUCAUAACUGAGAGAGACAGUAAAUGAAAUAUAAACUCGAUGAAUCUGCAGCAUGUUCACCUUCGUUUAAUAACACUUUGGUCCAUUGGAAUGCAGACGAAACACUUGAGACUUGAACUGGAUGAAUUUAAAGUCGCCAAAAAUGUGGCAUAUUUUUUUCUUUUUCUAGUUGCGGGAAAACCAUUGUGCAAUGUGAGACGGAGAGACCUCAUUACCUUGGUAUAUAAUUUUUUGUAUACUACACUUUUCUAAAGAAAUAUUGUAACUUGAAAUUGUUGUGAUAAUUCGCUGAAGACCAAUCGUAGAAAGUAGAUACAGAGCACGAAAGAAUAAGAGAUUUAAAGUACUAUGAA
Molecule: long non-coding RNA, 1201 nt
Organism: Macrobrachium nipponense
Lineage: Eukaryota; Metazoa; Arthropoda; Malacostraca; Decapoda; Palaemonidae
Exons: 3
Source: RefSeq, a predicted model, not a curated record